UCCUUGGUAGCUCAGACAGUAAAGAAUCUGUCUGCAAUAUAGGAGAUCCAGGUUCAAUUCCUGGGUCAGGAA
RNAcentral lists this transfer RNA (72 nucleotides) under Bos taurus (domestic cattle). It matches the Rfam family "tRNA". Rfam says of the family: Transfer RNA (tRNA) molecules are approximately 80 nucleotides in length. Their secondary structure includes four short double-helical elements and three loops (D, anti-codon, and T loops). Lineage: Eukaryota; Metazoa; Chordata; Mammalia; Artiodactyla; Bovidae. RNAcentral also lists the same sequence under 2 other names. The record is from Rfam by way of RNAcentral.